GAAUCAAGCAAGACGGGGUCUAACGAGUGAUUAGUAAUCCAUGUGGCAUAGAUUCGUGACCUUCAUUGCAAUUUGAAGGGGCACUGGUCUACCAUCUGCCAAAGUGGUAGAGUGGAUCUCAUAAUUUGUGAUAGGGGGAUUUGGAUUCGCGCGGCCCCUAA
Small nuclear RNA from Dendrobium catenatum, 161 nucleotides. RefSeq annotates it as U1 spliceosomal RNA. The record is from RefSeq and is a predicted model, not a curated record. The transcript has a single exon. NCBI's taxonomy places the organism in Eukaryota, Viridiplantae, Streptophyta, Magnoliopsida, Asparagales, Orchidaceae.